Molecule: long non-coding RNA, 1047 nt
Filed under: Bos indicus x Bos taurus (hybrid cattle)
Lineage: Eukaryota; Metazoa; Chordata; Mammalia; Artiodactyla; Bovidae
Description: lncRNA (ENSBIXG00005018320.1)
Source: RNAcentral
CCCCACUUCGAUGACAUGGCAGCCGGAGCACAGACUGUCACUCAGAUACUGUGAGAAAUGUGAAAAGGGUAUUCUUGUCUUUCCAGGUGGCUUCAAAACUCCUUUCCCACCUCAAACAAUGUCUGUAUCUACUCUGACUCAUAUGUUUGGGUGAACUUUGCUUGGUACUCAUCUGUAUGGUAAUACCAAAAAGUAUUUCCAGGCAGAAAAUCAGCAUUUUAGUGGGUACAUUGUUUUGUGUUUGGUGACCAUUUUGUUCUCUGGGUUCUAGAGUUAUAGGUACAUUUUGAAGGCUAGGACUUCCCUGGUGGCUUAGAUGGUAAAGCGUCUGUCUAUAAUUGUGGGAGACCCGGGUUCAAUCCCUGGGUUGGGAAGAUCCCCUGGAGAAGGAAAUGGCAAUCCACUCCAGUACUAUUGCCUGGAAAAUCCCAUGGACAGAGGAGCCUGGUAGGCUACAGUCCAUGGGGUCGCAAAGAGUUGGACACGACUGAGCGACUUCACUUUCACUUUCACCGUUGAAGGCUGUCUUGGCCAGAUUUCGGUUAGUCUUUGGCAGUAGGGGACAACACAGAAAACCAUCCCUAUCUACUCUUUUCUAGAAAGAACACUUCUAUCAGAAGCACCAUUUUAUUUCCACACCCACCAAUAGGCUCAGUAAAGGAAAGGCAAGUAACAGUUACUAAGUACAGGACAUUUUUUCCCAUGAAUUAUCACUCUUCAGGCAUGGUCAGGAGGCUGCUAGUAAACCAGACUCUGAAAACUCAGACUGCUCUGGAGAAAUCAUUAACCUCCAUAGCUGUGGUCAGACUGAGGACACACGGAGAGCAUGGCUUUGUCCAAGACAUACAUCCGGGCCAUCUGACAUAUCCUGUUUUCCUGUGACUCUACUUCACUAAGUUUGGAGAGUAUUGAAUAUGACCUCUUUGGAUAGAUUAGAUAACUAUUAAGCUCCUUCCAUUAGACUAUUCAGGUAUGACCUAAAUCAAAUCACUUAUGAUUAUACAGUGGAAGUGAGAAAUAGAUUCAAGGGACUAGAUCUGAUAGAUA